UUUUAAUUGAAGGCUUGUAUGAAGGGUUGGACAAAGGAUAAGCUGUCUUUGUUUUUGAUUUUGAAUUUGUCUUUUAAGUGAAAAGACUUAAAUUAUUUUAAGGGACGAUAAGACCCUAUAAAUCUUUAUAUAAAUAUAUUUUCAUUUUAAUUUUUAAUGUUUAUAGAAACGAAAGUGUGAGAUAUUAUGUUGGGGUGAUAAGAAUAAAAAAUAAACUGUUCUAAAAAAAAACAAAGUUGUUUGGAUAAUAAUGGAUCCUUUUUAAAGAUUAAAAGUUUAAGUUACUUUAGGGAUAACAGCGUUAUUUUUUUUGAGAGUUCUAAUCGAAAAAAAAGUUUGCGACCUCGAUGUUGAAUUAAAAUUUUCUUUAUGGUGCAGCUGCUAUAAAAGAGAGUCUGUUCGACUUUUAAAGUUUUACGUGAUCU
This 425-nucleotide ribosomal RNA is filed under the name Galathea balssi. RNAcentral's name for it is "partial 16S ribosomal RNA". The stretch from base 292 to 425 matches the Rfam family "Bacterial large subunit ribosomal RNA", at positions 2473 to 2606 of the family's 2925-position model. The record is from RNAcentral. Lineage: Eukaryota; Metazoa; Arthropoda; Malacostraca; Decapoda; Galatheidae.